UUUAAGGCUUUCGACCAAGUCGUUAAUUCAGAUAUUCUUAAUCGAGAUAAGUGAAGAUUCCAAGAAAGAUCGAUCGAUGGCUUUCUUGAGAACUGCACUUUUUCUAAUGUUUUCGAUUUUGUCUGUGUCGAUGUUUAUUCAAGAAGGAAAUGCAACGAGACCUUUGGGAAUGGCACAAUGGACUUCUCCAUUAUUGGCCUCUCUUCCAAGGGGUGGUGUGCCGUCCUCCGGUGGCUCUAAGUGCACUUAUAUUCCCG
Molecule: long non-coding RNA, 257 nt
Filed under: Olea europaea (common olive)
Lineage: Eukaryota; Viridiplantae; Streptophyta; Magnoliopsida; Lamiales; Oleaceae
Description: long non-coding RNA (OEUR_LNC001565)
Source: RNAcentral